AUACGGAGGGUGCAAGCGUUACUCGGAAUCACUGGGCGUAAAGCGCGCGCAGGCGGCUUGAUAAGUUGGAUGUGAAAGCCUACGGCUCAACCGUAGAACUGCAUCCAAAACUGUCAAGCUAGAGUCUGGGAGGGGAAGAUGGAAUUAGUUGUGUAGGGGUAAAAUCCGUAGAGAUAACUAGGAAUACCAAAAGCGAAGGCAAUCUUCUGGAACACUACUGACGCUCAGGCGCGAAAGCGUGGGGAGCAAACAGGAUUAGAAACCCUAGUAGUCC
Molecule: ribosomal RNA, 274 nt
Filed under: uncultured bacterium
Lineage: Bacteria
Description: partial 16S ribosomal RNA
Rfam family: Bacterial small subunit ribosomal RNA
Source: RNAcentral